RNAcentral lists this ribosomal RNA (319 nucleotides) under uncultured eukaryote. Its description in RNAcentral is "partial 18S ribosomal RNA". It matches the Rfam family "Eukaryotic small subunit ribosomal RNA", at positions 1470 to 1796 of the family's 1831-position model. The record is from RNAcentral.
CCCUUAGAUGUCCUGGGCCGCACGCGUGCUACACUGACGCCUACAGCGAGUACUUCCCAGCCCCGAGAGGUGGCUGGUAAUCAGCAAUAGGCGUCGUGAUGGGGAUAGAUCUUUGGAAUUAUGGAUCUUGAACGAGGAAUGCCUAGUAAGCGCAGGUCAUUAGCCUGCGUUGAUUAAGUCCCUGCCCUUUGUACACACCGCCCGUCGCUCCUACCGAUUUCGAGUGGUCCGGUGAAUCUUUCGGACUGCGCGCGGCUUCGUGCCGUGUCGCGGAAAGUCAGGUAAACCUUAUCACUUAGAGGAAGGAGAAGUCGUANCA